CAAAGGCUUGGUCCUGACUUUACUAUCAGCUUUAGCCCAAUUUAUACAUGCAAGUAUCCGCAUCCCUGUGAGAAUGCCCUCAAUCCCCCGCCCGGGGACGAGGAGCAGGCAUCAGGCACCCUAUAGUUAGCCCAAGACGCCUUGCUACGCCACACCCCCAAGGGAACUCAGCAGUAAUAAACAUUAAGCCAUAAGUGAAAACUUGACUUAGUUAGCGCUAAGAGGGUCGGUAAAAUUCGUGCCAGCCACCGCGGUUAUACGAAAGACCCUAGUUGAUAGCCACGGCGUAAAGGGUGGUUAAGGUAAAUAAUAAAUAAAGCUAAAGGGCCUCUAAGCCGUCGCACGCAUUCCGAGAGCUCGAAACCCAAGCACGAAAGUAGCUUUAAAAUAAAACACACCUGACCCCACGAAAGCUAAGAAACAAACUGGGAUUAGAUACCCCACUAUGCUUAGCCUUAAACCAAGAUGUAUCCUUACACACACAUCCGCCCGGGUACUACGAGCACAGUUAAAACCCAAAGGACUUGGCGGUGCCUCAGACCCACCUAGAGGAGCCUGUUCUAGAACCGAUAAACCCCGUUAAACCUCACCACUUCUUGUUUUUCCCGCCUAUAUACCGCCGUCGUCAGCUUACCCCGUGAAGGCCUAGUAGUAAGCAAAAUUGGUACACCCAAAAACGCCAGGUCGAGGUGUAGCGAAUGAAGUGGGAAGAAAUGGGCUACAUUUUCUACAAACAGAAUAUUACGAAUGGCACUCUGAAAAUAUGCCUGAAGGUGGAUUUAGUAGUAAAAAGCAAAUAGUGUGUCCUUUUGAAUUAGGCUCUGAGGCGCGCACACACCGCCCGUCACUCUCCCCUCAUACAUUAAAACUCCAACUAAACAAUUACUAAUGACCUUAACCUUCUACACGGGGAGGCAAGUCGUAACAUGGUAAGUGUACCGGAAGGUGCACUUGGAAUAAU
RNAcentral lists this non-coding RNA (961 nucleotides) under Zungaro jahu. RNAcentral's name for it is "12S ribosomal RNA". It matches the Rfam family "Bacterial small subunit ribosomal RNA". The record is from RNAcentral. Lineage: Eukaryota; Metazoa; Chordata; Actinopteri; Siluriformes; Pimelodidae.